CGCCAACCGCCGCGGUAACACCGGCGGCCCGAGUGGUGAUCGUGAUUAUUGGGUCUAAAGGGUCCGUAGCCGGUUUGGUCAGUCCUCCGGGAAAUCUGAUAGCUCAACUAUUAGGCUUUCGGGGGAUACUGCCAGACUUGGAACCGGGAGAGGUAAGAGGUACUACAGGGGUAGGAGUGAAAUCUUGUAAUCCCUGUGGGACCACCUGUGGCGAAGGCGUCUUACCAGAACGGGUUCGACGGUGAGGGACGAAAGCUGGGGGCACGAACCGGAUUAGAUACCCGGGUAGUCCCAGCCGUAAACGAUGCUCGCUAGGUGUCAGGCAUGGCGCGACCGUGUCUGGUGCCGCAGGGAAGCCGUGAAGCGAGCCACCUGGGAAGUACGGCCGCAAGGCUGAAACUUAAAGGAAUUGGCGGGGGAGCACAACAACGGGUGGAAGCCUGCGGUUUAAUUGGACUCAACGCCGGACAACUCACCGGGGGCGACAGCAAUAUGUAGGCCAAGCUGAAGACUUUGCCUGAAUCGCUGAGAAGAGGUGCAUGG
This 543-nucleotide ribosomal RNA is filed under the name uncultured archaeon. Its description in RNAcentral is "bacterial SSU rRNA". It matches the Rfam family "Archaeal small subunit ribosomal RNA", at positions 456 to 997 of the family's 1478-position model. The record is from RNAcentral.